This 84-nucleotide transfer RNA is filed under the name Patescibacteria group bacterium. RNAcentral's name for it is "tRNA-Leu". It matches the Rfam family "tRNA". From Rfam's summary of the family: Transfer RNA (tRNA) molecules are approximately 80 nucleotides in length. RNAcentral also lists the same sequence under 1 other name. The record is from RNAcentral.
GCCCAGAUGGCGGAAAUGGUAGACGCACAGGACUUAAAAUCCUGCGAUGGAAACAUCGUGCCGGUUCGAUUCCGGCUCUGGGCA